Molecule: unclassified non-coding RNA, 258 nt
Filed under: Hevea brasiliensis (rubber tree)
Lineage: Eukaryota; Viridiplantae; Streptophyta; Magnoliopsida; Malpighiales; Euphorbiaceae
Source: RNAcentral
GGACAAUAGACAUACCAGACCCCCCAGCUCCUCCAUACUUUUCCAGUUCCAAUAAUGACACUACUGGCACAUAAUUUGCCAAGACCUGAGGGCUACAAGACCCUUCCGUUGGGUUUUCAUUUUUGAAUCUUUCCUUGUGUAUAUUAGUUUUGAGUGGUUGAAUUUCCUUAAGGAUGGAGGGAGUAUAUAGUUAGCAAGCUUAAGUGAAAAAGAACAUUAUAAUCCAUUCUUGAUUCUUCAACCGAAAUUAAAAAUGUA